GGCGGCAGGCUUAACACAUGCAAGUCGAGCGGGGAAAUGUAGCUUGCUACAUUACCUAGCGGCGGACGGGUGAGUAAUGCUUAGGAAUCUGCCUAUUAGUGGGGGGACAACAUCUCGAAAGGGAUGCUAAUACCGCAUACGCCCUACGGGGGAAAGCAGGGGAUCUUCGGACCUUGCGCUAAUAGAUGAGCCUAAGUCGGAUUAGCUAGUUGGUGGGGUAAAGGCCUACCAAGGCGACGAUCUGUAGCGGGUCUGAGAGGAUGAUCCGCCACACUGGGACUGAGACACGGCCCAGACUCCUACGGGAGGCAGCAGUGGGGAAUAUUGGACAAUGGGGGGAACCCUGAUCCAGCCAUGCCGCGUGUGUGAAGAAAGGCCUUUUGGUUGUAAAGCACUUUAAGCGAGGAGGAGGCUACCGAGAUUAAUACUCUUGGAUAGUGGACGUUACUCGCAGAAUAAGCACCGGCUAACUCUGUGCCAGCAGCGGC
Molecule: ribosomal RNA, 488 nt
Filed under: uncultured bacterium
Lineage: Bacteria
Description: bacterial SSU rRNA
Rfam family: Bacterial small subunit ribosomal RNA
Source: RNAcentral